Molecule: ribosomal RNA, 514 nt
Filed under: uncultured bacterium
Lineage: Bacteria
Description: bacterial SSU rRNA
Rfam family: Bacterial small subunit ribosomal RNA
Source: RNAcentral
AAAGGAAUAGACGGGGGCCCGCACAAGCGGUGGAACAUGUGGUUCAAUUCGAUGCUACGCGAAAAACCUCACCAAGGUUUGACAUGCAAGAAGUAGUGAACUGAAAGGGGAUCGACCUGUUAAGUCAGGAGCUUGCACAGGUGCUGCAUGGCUGUCGUCAGCUCGUGUCGUGAGAUGUUGGGUUAAGUCCCGCAACGAGCGCAACCAUUAUCCUUUGUUGCCAUCUUAUUUCCAGCUUGCUGGAGGUAGGAGCACUCUAAGGAGACUGCCCGGGAUAACCGGGAGGAAGGUGGAGAUGACGUCAAGUCAGUACGGCCUUUAUGCCUUGGGCUACACACGUGUUACAAUGGUUAGGACAAAGGGUUGCCAACCCGCGAGGGGGAGCUAAUCUCAAAAACCUAGCCUCAGUUCAGAUUGAAGUCUGCAAUCCGACUUCAUGAAGCUGGAAUCGCUAGUAAUGGCAGAUCAGCACGCUGCCGUGAAUACGUUCCCGGGCCUUGUACACACCGCCCGU